GCGCCCAUAGCUCAGCUGGAUAGAGUAUUUGGCUACGAACCAAAGGGCCGAGAGUUCGAAUCUUUCUGGGCGCGCCA
RNAcentral lists this transfer RNA (77 nucleotides) under Bacilli bacterium. Its description in RNAcentral is "tRNA-Arg". It matches the Rfam family "tRNA". From Rfam's summary of the family: Transfer RNA (tRNA) molecules are approximately 80 nucleotides in length. Their secondary structure includes four short double-helical elements and three loops (D, anti-codon, and T loops). The record is from RNAcentral. RNAcentral also lists the same sequence under 1 other name. Lineage: Bacteria; Bacillati; Bacillota; Bacilli.